This is a long non-coding RNA of Aethina tumida (small hive beetle), 1563 nucleotides long. RefSeq lists it as uncharacterized. The record is from RefSeq and is a predicted model, not a curated record. The transcript is spliced from 2 exons. Lineage: Eukaryota; Metazoa; Arthropoda; Insecta; Coleoptera; Nitidulidae.
AAUUGUAUCCUAACAUGCGUGUGUAAUUCAGCGUUAAUUAUCAUUAAUGGCCGAAACUCGAGUUCGAUCACAUGGUCGGAUACGUAUGCAUUUAAUGUGUUCAAGGAAACCGUUUGAUUAUCAAUUUGGCAAACCUGACAUAAGCGUUAUAAUAAUACUGUUUGUAAAUAUUGACAUGUCCAACCAUCUGGCAGCCAUAAAGCUAUCUCGUAAAAAAAAAAAUUAUACUAGUUGGCACGUCGCGGCGGAGAGCGGCUGCAAGCCACGUUAUUUCAUAUCAGACAGAUUGCCUUCAAAAUAAGAUUAAUGAAACUUUGAUCCCGUGACCUCGGGAUAAAUUAUUUAAUUGGUAGAAUCGGCCACAUCGUAUUUCUUUUGUUUCAAUAGUCGAGUUAGCAGUAACUAUGGGUAGCGUGGUGAAGUUGUUGGCGUUGUUUGUGCUGUUACACGUUGGAUUACUGCUCGCACUGCCUUUCGAACAGGUCAACUCCACGCGAACGGAGAACGUUGUCGUUACGAACAACACAUGCAUCUACGGAUUCGAGCUGGUCAAUGGCAAAUGCACGGAAAUUUUCUAGGAUGGUGUCAAACCAGAGAGCUCAAUUAUGUACCAUCGAAUGGAGGAAAGCACGAUGAAACAAGACUGAAAACGCAAAGCUUUCCGUAAUCUCAAAAAUCAUCAAACAUUUUAUACAAUUUCGGAGGAGCCAAAAAUUACGGGGGCCACAUACAAACAUUUUGUGGAGUGUGAAAGUUGCUUUUUAAUGUAUGUAUGAUGCGGGAACGAAGAAAAAGGGGACUUUGAAGAAUUUAUAAUUGUCUGGUGACUGUACUUACCUAAAAUAUGUAGCCUUUUCCUUGGAGAUUUUAAAAUCACAGUUUAAAUAAUUUUGAUUUAAAAUUCAUUAUGUAUUAACUAUUGAUUAUUAUAUUUUAUCAAACACAUAUAUAUUUUAAACGUAUUUUAGAAACAUACAAUCUAAUUUAUGCCACUUAAUAAAUUCUAUUUUAAUCAUAAAACUAGAAAAUAUGUUCCAGACAUGUUUAUUUUUGUUUAGUCUAUUUUGAAUUAUACAUUGUGAUAUAAAUCUCGAAUAAAAUUAAAUUGCGCUGAAAGAUAUACAGAUACGAUCUGUCUGGAAAUUGUUUGAAAAACGAGGAAAUAAAUAUGUUUAAAAUAGUUUAGAUCAAAGAUUCACAGGAACUAAAAUAUAAAUAAACACACACUAAAAUAUAUAGCAGUUUUACACUUGACAUUUGUACGAUUUGGAAAAUUUACAAUUAUUUUAUUUUUGUGCAGUAUUCAGGUUCAACCAAUUUUCGUUAACGAAUAAAUCGUGUUAUAUUACGCAUUAGUUUAUUUUAUUAUGUUAGUUGUAGCUGUUGUAAAUAUGUAUUCUAUAUUAUUUAUUGAAUUAUUUAUUUUAGAUUUGUAAUUAACAUUUUUGUUUUAGUUGCAGUGUACUUUUUUAAUGUUAGUAUGUAUUGUUAGUUUUUUAUACAAAUUGUUUUUGUAAAUUAGUAUUAGUGUAGUAUUUUGAAAUUAAAAUUAUUUAAAAUGUU